Molecule: non-coding RNA, 173 nt
Organism: Podarcis muralis (Common wall lizard)
Lineage: Eukaryota; Metazoa; Chordata; Lepidosauria; Squamata; Lacertidae
Source: RefSeq, a predicted model, not a curated record
AUGCCCACGCCGCGGUUUCCAAUCCGCGCAACGUGGCCCAGGCGGCUCUGCACCCCCCAAAACAACAACAACAACCACUCCUCCGCCCGUCCCCGCAAGUAGGCAAUAUGAGAUCUACAACCCUACGCAGCAGCGUCUACGUCUGGAAGGAAGCCAGUGUGCAAAGCGAGAGG